AAAAAAUUAGCCCAUUUCUCCCAUAGUGAUCAGCCAAACCAGAAGAGAAGAGAAACCAAGGACGAACAAACCCUAGGUGGGAAAAAUCAAAGAGAAAGUGUUGGAAUUCAAGGAUUUGAUCAAGCAAAGGUAAAAUUUCUUUGAUUUUGCUAGUGAUUUACCUUACCCAUGCAUUUUUCCUUAAUUUCCAUGGUUAAAUUACAUGUUUUCAUGAUGAAAUUAUGGCUGGUCAAAAUGGGUAUGGAGAGAGAAAGAUGUUGGAAUUGUUUGAUUUUGAGUUAUGUUGGUGUUUAGAGUUAGUUAAACAUGUUUAGAAACAAAACAACAAGAAAAGAAUCCAUUUUCCCCAUGAACCUUCAAUGGCCGAAAGUUCCAAGAAGAAAAGUGAAGAUAAAUUUGCCUAAUUGUGUGUUAAUUAGUUGUGCUUGGUGAAUUGAGGGAUUGGAAAAGAAAUGGAGAAAGUUGGAGUGAAAUUGGACGCAUUGGCCAAUUUAUUGGAUGAAAAAUCGACUUAGGUCAAUACCGGGUCUAGAUGGCUACCUGUGCAUUUUUCAUUUCAUAUCAUGCAUAUAUAUCGAGCCUGAAAUAGCUUAUGACUGUUAGACACAAUUUAAUUGAAAUAUGUGCCAUGGAUUAAGGCUAGGUGGUGAGCCAUUAGAUACGAGUAAAGGACUGUACCCGCGGACUGAAAAUAGGAGUAUAUCGACUCCUAGAACAAUGAGUAAACUUACUAUCAUCUUAAUUAUCUAGAGUAGAUUUAUUUAAUUAAGUGGUUUUAUGGAAAAUGGUUUAAUUGGAAAAUUAUUGUGUUCUAUGGGAAAAUGAGAUUUUAUAAAAUAAUUUUAUAAAAUUUUUGAAAAUUUAAUAAUGAUUUCAAAAAUAGAGUAAUUGGAGACCUAUACUAUGAUUGUGUUGUUUAUCUAUGAUUUUAAAUUAAAUGGCUUAUGAUAAAUGUGGGUAUGACUGGUUAUUUUUAUGAUUUUAAGAAUAUGUGAAUUGCUUUGAUUUGCCUUGAAUGUGUUAAGUGAGUCAUGUCAUACUAUUGUGAUUUUGUUGGUUGGUAGAUUAUAAAGUAGGCACUGCAGUGACAGGGGUUCCGUGGACCAGCCUAAUUAGAGGGGCACGGUUCCCAAUUAUUGAGCUUACCUCGAUUGGAGAGACGCUUAGAAUAACUCCUGAGGUAGGAUUUGUGGGCACUGCAGUGACGGGGGUUCCAUAGGCCAGCCUAAUUAGAGGGGCACGAUUCCCAAUUAUUGAGCUUACCUCUAUUGGAGAGGCGCGUAAGAUAACUCCCGAGGUAGGAUUUGAGUACACUUCACGCUGGCCACCACGUGAAAUUGGGACUCAGCCAACGCCGAGGAACGGCUGUGUUGUUAGAGGUGAAAUGUGUUUGUGUGUGUGACAAUAAACAGCCUUGACGGUCUCGGUAAGAUGCCUUCGCGGGGUAUCCCCGAGAAUGGAUUUUUGGCAAGGGCCAAGUUUUGAAAAGUGCAUAAGCCAUGUUGAGUAAUUGGAUGAAAUCCAAUUAUUUAUAUGGGUUGGGAUGAAUUAUUUUAAUUGUCUCAUAUUACUCGGCUUUAGAUUAUUUUGAUGAUCUCUGUCUACUCACUGGGAUUUUAUAAUCUCAUCCCUUAUUCCUAUACAUUUUUCAGGCUCAGGACAAUUUGUUGAUAGUUGAUUAAGACGAGAAUUAAUCUCGGAGUUGCAUCUUAGAAAGUAAGGGUUCGUAACCCUACAUUUUAUUAGUCAGUUAGGGGUCCACGUGUCACUGUAAAAGUAAUUUUAUUCUUCAGUUAUUUGAUUUAAAAUAUGUAUGAAUAUAUUUAGCUUUUACACCAUGUUUUUGGCGAGUUUCGGUAUUUUCGAAGAAAAAUGACGAAAAUGCCCUUAUGAGCCAGAAAGUAAUAUUUUAUUGUUUUGAUUUGGAAAUGACUUAUGAUUUUUUUGAAAUGUGAGAUUUAAUAACUGUCGCUCACUGGGGAGAUGCAGAAGCUGAUGCUAAGCCUUGCGGGGUUUCGAUCGGCAUUCGGGGUAAUGAGUGCCUAUCGGGACGUCGCGGCGGUUGUCACUGGCUCGAUGGGAGUUUCGGGUCGUGACAUUAUAAGAGUAGGGUCUUUUUUGUCUGUAUAAUGUUUGAAAAACACAAAAAAUGCUAUAGUUUCUAAUUGGAAUUCUUCAUUAACCAAAAAUGUUAUUUUGAUUAAAUAUCUUUGGAUGGAUACUUUAGUGAGAACCAUCAUAUAUUCUUGGAUAUCUUGGUUUUCUGUGUCAGAAUCUGUAAGAUUUUGAACAUUUUGGUUUUUUGUUGUUUUGAAAAGUUGGAUCUGGUUUUUGAUUUGUUGUUGUUCUUUUUCGAGUUUAGAAAUUUUUGUUUUUAUGGAUUUUAUUUCUAAGUUUAAUUCUUCUUUAGUUGUUUUUUUUUUGGUUUUUCGUAUUUGUCAAAAAUAAUGUUUUUAAUAUUAUAUAUAGGUUCUUCUUGCAAGAUUGCCUUGUCUAGUUUUUUUUUUUAUUGAAUCUUUUAAUUUUUGAAGAUAUUCUCUCUUUAAUGUUGAAUCUUGUAUUUUAUCUACGAUUUCAAUCAUAAAUUCUUGGUCUUUUGUCAAUACAUUAAUUAAAUUUUCACUUUCUGUUGAAGAUUGAGAUGUAGUAUGGAUUUCAUCUAUUUGUAAAUUUUUUGAAGAUUUUUCACUAAUUGUUAUAUCAAUAUCAGAUGAUGAUAUUUCUAAAAGCAUUUCAUUGAUUUUUUGUUCAAUUUCUUCCCCUAGUUGGAGUUGAUUAAUUUUCUUUUUUAUUUUACAAUAUUUUGAAAUAUGUCAUGUUUUUCCACAUCUAAAAUAUUUUAUUGUUAAAUUAUUAAAUUAUAUUAAUAAUUUAAAAAAUCCAUUCAUUAUUAUUAAAUUAUUAAUAUAAUUUUUAUUUUUAUUUCUUUUUCUUUUUCUUUAUUUUCAAUUUUUUCCUCAUCAUUUUCUUUUCUUUUCGUUUCUCAUAUCUAUCACCGAUCAUCAGAAAAACCACUAACGACGUUGGAGUGCUAAUUUGACAUUGGUCACGGCCAGAUCAAGUUGUUGAACCUAUCUGGCCAAUGCACUACUUAUCACUUCCCAUAACCACGUCAACACUCCAAUAGCUAGAUCUAAUUGUGACCAACACUAGAUCGACGUUCCAACUUCGCCAAUGGUUUCUUCAAUGGUUGACAAUAGAAAACUUGGUGGUGCCAACAGCAAAGGACGGUAUUGACUGUGGAAGAGAAUGGCAGCAAACUUGCUUAAAAAUAGAAAAGAUGAAAGGUAGAUCAAGAAGAGAAAGAAAAAAAAGAAGGAAAAUGAAUAAAAAAACCUUUUAUAAUGUAAGGUUAGUAAUUUUUAAAAAUGAUUAAAGUUAUUUUUGUAAAAAAAUUUUAGACUUUAUUUCAUUGGGUGUGGAAUACUUAAUACCAAGGGAGGGUAUAUUUUGAGGACCCUUUAAAAACAAACCAAAUAGAGGAAGAAAGAUUCUUUAGGACCAAAUGUGUCGAAAGAGAAAGAAGAGGACUACGAGGAGGCAUUAAUACAAGGCUAGGAAUUCUCUAAACCAAUACCCAAGGUUAGCCACCGAGAGUCGCUAGUUCUUAAGGUUAUCGACUUGUGGUCGUUGAAAUCUCUCAUCGCAAUUUUGAAGUGUAUGAACAUUUUUGGUGCUAAAGAUGUCAUCUAAAAAAUGCAGCAUAAGCAUCAUAUUUAUAGGUAAAUAUGUUAAUCUUAAUCCCACUAGGAAUUUCCUUAACAAAAGUGAACUUAUUC
Molecule: long non-coding RNA, 3779 nt
Filed under: Theobroma cacao (cacao)
Lineage: Eukaryota; Viridiplantae; Streptophyta; Magnoliopsida; Malvales; Malvaceae
Description: long non-coding RNA (TCAC_LNC003288)
Source: RNAcentral